This 73-nucleotide transfer RNA is filed under the name Ailuropoda melanoleuca (giant panda). It matches the Rfam family "tRNA". From Rfam's summary of the family: Transfer RNA (tRNA) molecules are approximately 80 nucleotides in length. Lineage: Eukaryota; Metazoa; Chordata; Mammalia; Carnivora; Ursidae. The record is from Rfam by way of RNAcentral. RNAcentral also lists the same sequence under 3 other names.
ACCUGGCUGGCUCAGUCAGUAGAGCGUGUGACUCUUGAUCUCAGGGUUGUGAGUUUGAGCCCCAUGUUGGGUG